Molecule: ribosomal RNA, 245 nt
Filed under: uncultured bacterium
Lineage: Bacteria
Description: partial 16S ribosomal RNA
Rfam family: Bacterial small subunit ribosomal RNA
Source: RNAcentral
UACAGAGGGUGCGAGCGUUGUUCGGAAUUACUGGGCGUAAAGCGCGUGUAGGCGGCCUGUUAAGUUCCGUGUGAAAGCCCUGGGCUUAACCCAGGAAGUGCGCGGGAAACUGGCAGGCUGGAGUGUCGGAGAGGAUGGUGGAAUUCCCGGUGUAGAGGUGAAAUUCGUAGAUAUCGGGAGGAACACCUGUGGCGAAGGCGGCCAUCUGGACGAUGACUGACGCUGAGACGCGAAAGCGUGGGGAG